GACGAACGCUGGCGGCGUGCUUAACACAUGCAAGUCGAACGGAAAGGCCCUGCUUUUGUGGGGUGCUCGAGUGGCGAACGGGUGAGUAACACGUGAGUAACCUGCCCUUGACUUUGGGAUAACUUCAGGAAACUGGGGCUAAUACCGGAUAGGAGCUCCUGCUGCAUGGUGGGGGUUGGAAAGUUUCGGCGGUUGUGGAUGGACUCGCGGCUUAUCAGCUUGUUGGUGGGGUAGUGGCUUACCAAGGCUUUGACGGGUAGCCGGCCUGAGAGGGUGACCGGCCACCUUGGGACUGAGAUACGGCCCAGACUCCUACGGGAGGCAGCAGUGGGAAAUAUUGCACAAUGAGCGGACGCCUGAUGCAGCAACGCCGCGUGCGGGAUGCCCGCCUACGGGUUGUAAACCGCUUUCGCCUGUGACGAAGCGUGAGUGACGGUAAUGGGUAAAGAAGCACCGGCUAACUACGUG
Molecule: ribosomal RNA, 468 nt
Filed under: uncultured bacterium
Lineage: Bacteria
Description: partial 16S ribosomal RNA
Rfam family: Bacterial small subunit ribosomal RNA
Source: RNAcentral